This 1287-nucleotide ribosomal RNA is filed under the name Triticum aestivum (bread wheat). RNAcentral's name for it is "partial small subunit ribosomal RNA". The record is from RNAcentral. Lineage: Eukaryota; Viridiplantae; Streptophyta; Magnoliopsida; Poales; Poaceae.
AUGCCACGCCUUGGCGAUGCUUCCCUUCGGCCGGAGGAGGACUUUGUCGUCGUGCCGGCUACACCAGAGAUGCAAGCCGAGUCUGCCAUCCUCUCCUCCAACGCUGUUGUGGCAUGGCUGGAGGGCGCACGGCAGGACAUUUCCUGCCGGCAGGUCGCCACGGAGCUCGCUGCGGCUCUGGGCGCUCGCCCGGCUGAUGUUGAGGUGGUGAAGCACUAUCCAGAGCAGUUCUUUGUCAGGUUCGUGUAUAAGCAUCAAUGUGCAGAGGUUGUGUCUCGCGACAGCCUCCCUGGAGCUGGCUACAACAUCUUCGUGCGCGAAUGGCGGCUGGAGGCGCAUGCCGAUAAUGAGGAUAUGCUGCUCCACGUCCGCCUGUGCAUGGAAGACGUCCCGCUGCACGGGUGGAACGAGUACAUCGCCACCUUCCUCAUCGGCCGCAGCUGCUCGCUUGACUACAUCGAGCCGCGCUCCCGACGCAAGGAGGACACGAGGGACUUGGCGCUCUGGGCGUGGACGGCCAACCCCAAUGCCAUCCCGAAAGUGAAGUGGCUCACGCUCCCUGCUCGUGGCCACCGUCACCGUGGGCGGCGCGGCCUCCGUCACCGCGUCAUCAUCCACCUCGACUUCCUCGAGGACCACUCCAAGGCCGCCGCCGAUGACGACAACCCGCCGUCAUUAGAAGUCCACGAGUUUACCUGGUUCCGCCGCGCCGUCGACGACACGGUCGUCCCUAGGGACCGGCGUGUGCCACAAGGGCGCGAGGUGCGACGCCAGGACAGGCGGGAUGACGAUGAGGGCGACCACGAUGACCGACGCGGUCGCGGCGACCGUGCUCGCGAGGGUUGGGGCGCCAGGGUACGGCGCUCGCUCUCCCACAACCCUCGUGAGCGCCAACGGGAGGUGGGUCAGGACCGCACCAGGGAGCGCUCUGGCGGCCAUAGGCAUGCCACCAACUCCAGCGCCCCUUUGUCGGCGGCCCUCGACGACGUGCCUGCACCGCUGCGUGGCUCGGGCUCGGUCAGCGGUGAGCAUGUGCGUGCUCUCGAGCUAUUGCCCCGCAGGUGCAGGGCCCUGCCGCGGUCUGGGGGCGCAGCCCCACUCGCCAGGCCUCUCCGCGCUCCACCAGACGCCGCUCUCAGGCGAGCCUCACUCCCCAGGCAUCUCCACCAUUAUCUCCGACUACGGUGCUGCCGGCAAGCCCGCGGUCCAAGCGCUCUGAAGAUAGGAGUUCUCCCAUGCGUCUCGCUGCGCCUAGCCCAUCACUACUCGAGCUCUACUCGUCUGUGA